UACGAAGGUCCCAAGCGUUGUUCGGAAUCACUGGGCGUAAAGGGAGCGUAGGCGGCGCGGUAAGUCAGAUGUGAAAUCCCGGGGCUCAACCCCGGAACUGCAUCCGAUACUGCCAUGCUAGAGGAUUGGAGAGGUAGCUGGAAUUCUUGGUGUAGCAGUGAAAUGCGUAGAGAUCAAGAGGAACACUCGUGGCGAAAGCGAGCUACUGGACAAUUCCUGACGCUGAGGCUCGAAGGCUAGGGUAGCGAAAGGG
RNAcentral lists this ribosomal RNA (253 nucleotides) under uncultured bacterium. Its description in RNAcentral is "partial 16S ribosomal RNA". It matches the Rfam family "Bacterial small subunit ribosomal RNA", at positions 524 to 776 of the family's 1533-position model. The record is from RNAcentral.